CUCUUCGGGGAUGAUUAAACCGGCGCACGGGUGAGUAACACGUGAGUGACCUGCCUUUUAGACUGGAACAACUUACCGAAAGGUGAGCUAAUGCCGGAUGAGUUAUAUAAGUGCAUGUUUAUAUAGGAAAAGUUGGGGAGACCUGACGCUGAAAGAUGGACUCGCGUCCCAUUAGCUAGUUGGUAGGGUAAUGGCCUACCAAGGCGACGAUGGGUAGCCGGCCUGAGAGGGUGGCCGGCCACACUGGGACUGAGACACGGCCCAGACUCCUACGGGAGGCAGCAGUGGGGAAUUUUGCGCAAUGCUCGUAAGAGUGACGCAGCGACGCCGCGUGAAUGACGAAGGCCUUCGGGUCGUAAAGUUCUUUCGACAGGGAAGAAAAUGCCUAUAAGUAACUGUGUAUGUAUUGACGGUACCUGUAUAAGCAGCCCCGGCUAACUCCGUGCCAGCAGCCGCGGUAAUACGGAGGGGGCGAGCGUUGUUCGGAGUGACUGGGCGUAAAGAGCACGUAGGCGGUGUUGUAAGUCAUUAGUCAAAGACUAGAGCUCAACUUUAGUAAGGCUAGUGAUACUAUAAUACUAGAGUAUCAGAGAGGAUUGCAGAAUUCCUGGUGUAGCGGUGAAAUGCGUAGAUAUCAGGAGGAAUACCGUUAGCGAAGGCGGCAAUCUGGCUGGAAACUGACGCUGAGGUGCGAAAGCGUGGGUAGCAAACAGGAUUAGAUACCCUGGUAGUCCACGCUGUA
This 742-nucleotide ribosomal RNA is filed under the name uncultured bacterium. RNAcentral describes it as "bacterial SSU rRNA". It matches the Rfam family "Bacterial small subunit ribosomal RNA", at positions 76 to 804 of the family's 1533-position model. The record is from RNAcentral.